GAAAUGACGUCACUACUCAAUAAAAGUCGCGCUCCUUCAUCGUCACAUCCUCUUUCCGUUGCUCUUCUCUCGUUGAGAAAAGUCUCCACACGAUGAGAGCCAAGUGGAGGAAGAAGCGCAUGCGCAGGCUGAAGCGUAAAAGGCGAAAGAUGAGGCAGAGGUCAAAGUAAGCCCUCAUCCCUGCCAGCUGUGAUCCCAUGUGAGCUUCUUCAGACGCAGUCAUCCAGGAAGUGGAUCGCUCGAAGCAUCGGCUGAAAUUGUGACCAGGUCCUGAUCUUGGUAUCUGAGGACAGCGUCCACUGGCCCAGCUGUGGAUGUGUUGCUGGAAGAAGUUUUAAGAUGUUGGAAUCCAUCAGAAGUGCAGCUGCAUUGUUCAUGGACCAUAAUACAACUUGUUUACUUGCAAACUGUCAUGUGGUGUAUUGAACAAUAAAUGAACACUGUUAAGUUUCCAGAA
Molecule: long non-coding RNA, 457 nt
Organism: Girardinichthys multiradiatus
Lineage: Eukaryota; Metazoa; Chordata; Actinopteri; Cyprinodontiformes; Goodeidae
Exons: 4
Source: RefSeq, a predicted model, not a curated record